AAAAAAAACGAAAAACAGCUUGAGCAUGUUCUGGCAAGCCCAAAACGUGCAAUAUGCUAGUCAAUCCUGACAUACCACUACAUGAAGAAAGGUUUUUCAGUCGUGGUGGUUAUGUCAAGUUGAAACAUUAUAUUGUAAAUAUUCACCAAUUUACCAAUAGGACAUAUUAAUGUGCUUUUUAUCUUUAAUUUAAUAGGCGUUGUUGUUACCGGCUGGUUCAUGUCGUUGAUAGGACUAUGCCCUUUUAGUCUAUGAUGAAGACAAUCGUUCACCUUAUGUAGGCAGCUAUUUUAAGUUCAUCUCGACUUGCAGAUGUGUAAACUUUAAUUAUAAACAAAAGGUGGCAAUCAUCUUUAAUUUAUAUAGUAGAGUGGUUACUGGUUGUUGUUACCGGAAAAGUUUGAAAUUCAGUUAUUUUCUUCAGAACGUCAUUUUAUGCAGAGAAAAAACUUUCACAGUUCGGCGUAAGAACUAGUGGUGAUAUGUGCUCUUUCUGUCGUAAUAGUCGGGUUACGGAUGCGCAUCCGUCACAUACGGCGAGUCGGCGACACAUGGUCUCUUUCGUCAACGUGCAGAAAAACUAAUGCUCUAGCAUUCGUCGUUUGGCCUUAAGUUACCAAAUAAGGAAUGCUGGACUCACCGUGUUUGCAGCAAAAGAUAUGCCAAUAACAUAAUUCUAUUUAUAUUUUCUUUUUCAUAUAUAUUAGAUAUUUCAUCUUCUUCACAAAUGAUUAAAAUUCAACCAGGAUGCUAUAUGUAAAAUUUCUUUGGUUUCAAAAUGCUGGGGGCCCAUCAAAACGCUUAAACAAGAGAAAAGAUCACUGACCGUGUAUACCUGUUAUUCUCAACGAUUAAACGUCAACACACGACCGACAAACAAAUUCAUCGAGGGCUUUGUGUUCUAUUUUUAAUUGCAGAACGAAUACUUUUCUAUAUUCACUCGGAAUGCAUAUUUGCUAUUCUCAGACUAUAUAUCAAAUCUAACGAUUCAAAUCUAAGCAUAUUAAAAUUCCCCAAUAAGACAUAAGUUUUUACUUUAUCUUUUACUAUAAAAA
Molecule: long non-coding RNA, 1055 nt
Organism: Daphnia magna
Lineage: Eukaryota; Metazoa; Arthropoda; Branchiopoda; Diplostraca; Daphniidae
Exons: 2
Source: RefSeq, a predicted model, not a curated record